This 69-nucleotide transfer RNA is filed under the name Mesocricetus auratus (golden hamster). It matches the Rfam family "tRNA". From Rfam's summary of the family: Transfer RNA (tRNA) molecules are approximately 80 nucleotides in length. Their secondary structure includes four short double-helical elements and three loops (D, anti-codon, and T loops). Further hydrogen bonds mediate the characteristic L-shaped molecular structure. tRNAs have two regions of fundamental functional importance: the anti-codon, which is responsible for specific mRNA codon recognition, and the 3' end, to which the tRNAs corresponding amino acid is attached (by aminoacyl-tRNA synthetases). tRNAs cope with the degeneracy of the genetic code in two manners: having more than one tRNA (with a specific anti-codon) for a particular amino acid; and 'wobble' base-pairing, i.e. permitting non-standard base-pairing at the 3rd anti-codon position. Lineage: Eukaryota; Metazoa; Chordata; Mammalia; Rodentia; Cricetidae. The record is from Rfam by way of RNAcentral.
GAGGAUGUAGCUCAUUAGGUAGAGUGCUUGCCUGACAUGCAUUAAGCCUUGGGUUGUUCACCAUCCUCC